This 291-nucleotide ribosomal RNA is filed under the name uncultured bacterium. RNAcentral's name for it is "partial 16S ribosomal RNA". It matches the Rfam family "Bacterial small subunit ribosomal RNA", at positions 773 to 1060 of the family's 1533-position model. The record is from RNAcentral.
GUGGAUUAGAUACCCUGGUAGUCCACGCCGUAAACGAUGGAUGCUAGCCGUUGGCAGGCUUGCCUGUCAGUGGCGCAGCUCACGCAUUAAGCAUCCCGCCUGGGGAGUACGGUCGCAAGAUUAAAACUCAAAGGAAUUGACGGGGGCCCGCACAAGCGGUGGAGCAUGUGGUUCAAUUCGAAGCAACGCGCAGAACCUUACCAACCUUUGACAUCCCGAUCGCGGGCACCAGAGAUGGAGCCUUUCAGUUCGGCUGGAUCGGAGACAGGUGCUGCACGGCCGUCGCCAACU